UCCGUAGGUGAACCUGCGGAAGGAUCAUUACCGAGUGCGGGUCCUUUGGGCCCAACCUCCCAUCCGUGUCUAUUAUACCCUGUUGCUUCGGCGGGCCCGCCGCUUGUCGGCCGCCGGGGGGGCGCCUUUGCCCCCCGGUCCCGUGCCCGCCGGACACCCCAACACGAACACUGUCUGAAAGCGUGCAGUCUGAGUUGAUUGAAUGCAAUCAGUUAAAACUUUCAACAAUGGAUCUCUUGGUUCCGGCAUCGAUGAAAAACGCAGCGAAAUGCGAUAACUAAUGUGAAUUGCAGAAUUCAUGGAAUCAUCGAGUCUUUGAACGCACAUUGCGCCCCCUGGUAUUCCGGGGGGCAUGCCUGUCCGAGCGUCAUUGCUGCCCUCAAGCCCGGCUUGUGUGUUGGGUCGCCGACCCCCUCUCCGGGGAGACGGGCCCGAAAGGCAGCGCCGGCACCGCGUCCGAUCCUCGAGCGUAUGGGGCUUUGUCACAUGCUCUGUAGGAUUGGCCGGCGCCUGCCGACGUUUUCCAACCAUUUUUUCCAGGUUGACCUCGGAUCAGGUAGGGAUACCCGCUGAACUUAAGCAUAUCAAUAAGCGGAGGA
RNAcentral lists this ribosomal RNA (599 nucleotides) under Aspergillus tubingensis. RNAcentral's name for it is "eukaryotic LSU rRNA". The stretch from base 217 to 370 matches the Rfam family "5.8S ribosomal RNA". Lineage: Eukaryota; Fungi; Ascomycota; Eurotiomycetes; Eurotiales; Aspergillaceae. The record is from RNAcentral.